AGAAAUUUAGGUUACAUAAAACAAGGACCUUCAAAGCCCUAAACAUGGACCCAAAUCCAUAAUUUCUG
This 68-nucleotide transfer RNA is filed under the name Kolekanos plumicauda. Its description in RNAcentral is "tRNA-Trp". Lineage: Eukaryota; Metazoa; Chordata; Lepidosauria; Squamata; Gekkonidae. The record is from RNAcentral.